UGUGUUGGAGGAGCCUCCCGUGAAUGAUAAACUGCAUGUGGAAGUUAUCAGCACCUCAACAAGGAUUGGCCUUCUACAUCCAAAGGUACGUAAGCUGCAAUUUACUCUUAUUUAUUUUCCUCAUCAGUAGACUGAAUGCUGCAAGUAAUAUUUGUCGAAAACUUAAGAUCACCAUCUAGUGUAUGAGUCAAAGUGUCCUUAGAAAUCAUAAUAAUGCCAUCUUUUAGUUUCAAAAGCUCAAAUCCAUCCGCCAUCAGUUAUUUCAUGAGAUAUUACUGGUUUUCCUAUUUUAAUGAGUUCCUAAGAAAUAUGUUCUCUUGUUUAUAUUGUCCUGCAAAUUUUCCCGUGGCCCUCCUCCCAGGACCCCAAAAAAGAGUUAUCAUCUUCAAUUAAUUCAGAGUUUUCAUUUAGCAAUAAUGAGUAUUUAAAAAAAAUUAAUUUAAUGAAUUUAUGGACCUUCUUUUGGGAAAGAAAACAUUAGUACAAUACUUUCCCUAAUAGUAAUGAAUUUAUUAACUUUAUAUGUGGCUUCAAUUAAGGACUUGACAUGGUUAGGGCAUGACUUUUCUAAUAGAAAUAAAAUUAAGAGAUAACCAUGCCCUAGUAUCCCUAAAUAUGAGCUGCAUAAGCUUUUGAUCUCUUGCCAACUCACCAAUUAUUUUUAUCAAUUUUGGAUAUCUCGUAUAUAGGGCUCUGCCAUGUAUUCCUAUGAUCAAUUUAGUAUGGGCGAUUAAGCAGUAACACUCUCUCAAGAUGAAAUGUUAUAUUUUCUGUUUUCGACAAAGUCGAAAAGCAGAUGGAAGGUAGUAUUAUUAUACUUGGAAGAUAAAAACACGUAUUCCAGAAAGGAUGGAGUAGGCUGCUUCUAUAUGCUACUGUUUUCAGUUGUUCGUUGCCCUACUAAAGCGUUAGCUUUUUUUCUUUUGGUGUACUUCUUAAUACAGGAAGUGUUAGGGUAUAUUGAUAUAAGUCUUUCAGAUGUCGUCCACAACACAAGGAUCAACGAGAAGUACAACCUCAUAGAUUCAAAAAAUGGACGGAUUCAAGUUGAGCUGCAAUGGAGGACCGCUAAAUAAUUCUAUCCCGCCUUUGCUAAGCUACAUAAGUUCCCUCUUAUGCUAAGACAGACAUUUUUCUCUCUUCAAACUUGUGUGUUGAAAAAUCAUCGAAUGUUUUGUGUACAUAGUACAAUGACAACCAGCUGGUUAUGGUUAUUUAUGUUUUCAGUACAGUUCUUCUCUGCAUAGCAGGUCGGUUCUGAAACGGCACCCCUUAGAUAUAUUUGAUUCUCAUCUUUCAUUAGAUAUUCUUUCUUGGUUGUUUUAGUCCUCAGAUAUUUGUUGAACUAAUCCAGUUAAGAGCGACUGAAACAAGAGUGAUUCAUAGGGACUUAAAAGAGGGGUUACCUCUUUUUAGUCUCGGAACUUCAGCUUGAUGAGAAAAAGGUGGUUCAGGUAAGGUCAACCUUAACCGGUGUAACAGAUUAAAUGAGUUUAAGUUAUAUGCACUGUCAAGAAUUUUUACUCCAAAAGUUGUAUACAAUUACAGUACAUAUAACUUAAAACUCGGAUGUAUUUGUUUACAUGUCUCGUGUGCGAAUAUUGAGUUGCCAAUCUGCUAAUACUGCCUAACAUUCUUGGGGACACUAGCACUAGAUUUUCCCAAAACAGGGAAGGUAUUAGUUGUAAGUUUUCUGUAAUUUUUUGGUUUUUUCUUGCCCAAUUGUUUUCUUGUUGCAGUGCAUGCAUCCGUCAGCCCCAAGCCCCUUCCAGGAAAAAAAGGUGCUUCGUGGAAUUUGUGUUUGUAUUCAAUAGGAAAACACGAGAUUACCAAUGGACUACAUUUUGCUUUUACGAGCCUAAUCCAAAAUAUGAACCAUGAGAGAAAAUACCUUUUGAAUAUAUGAAGAUACAAAAAUCUAAAUGUCGAAGAAAACUACUAAUAUACCUUUUGAAUAUAUGAAGAUACAAUAUAGGAUGUUUUCUGAGUCAAAAUUUUUGAAAAGAAAAUGGACCUGAAUUGAUAGGAAGUGAAUACGGAAGUUGAAUUGACGGAGACCGAAUAUUGGACAAGUUCCAGGAGGGAGGGAGGUGGAUAAAGAGUCUGGAACUCAAUUGUGGUCCUUUUAGACUCAAAAUACCGAAAUAAGUGGGAAGAAAAUUUAGUGACCAAAAUAUAUAAAACAUUGUUUUAAACCGCGGUUUACUUUAACGUCCGUUUGGGACGUUAAGGUAAAGCGCAUUUCUAAACCAUGUUUUAUAUAAAAUGCCUUUUCAAACAAACGCUUUACCUAUUUUGUGGACCCACCAAUAAUUCUUCUGCGCUUAACUGACACAACCAUAAUUCAAAUGGGUAAAACGCCCUUUUAAAAAGCGUUUUACUUCAAAAAAUUCGGCCCUCCCCCCCGGAGGUAUUGUCUUAUUUAAAGGUGUUAAGGGUUUUGCAAAAAAUUCAUUCAGAAAUAUUCUCAACUCCUGAUAAAUUUUUCUUCUUGUUAAAUUCUCAAGUUUUUUUUUCAUAAUGUUUGAAGAGCGAAAAGUAAGGGUUUCAUUAUAUUGAGGAGGGGGGGGGGGGGAGGUGAGGUUGUUGUGGCGAAUAAUUCAGUAAGCUAUAGUUUAUCUCCACAGAGUCAUGUUAAGUUGCCACUUUCAAUGGAGUACGAUAGACUGGUAUCGUUGUUAUGUAAUAAAAUGAGUGUGAGCAAACAUUUGGUGAAUCUUAAAAUAACCGGAAGAUAUCCGUAUUCUGUGACUCUGCAAGAGGUUGCUUGUUACGCUGAGUUUAACAUCGAGGAUGAUGAAACUCUAAGAGAUUUUUUGGGGACUUCGGAUAAAUACCGGGAAUUUAUUUUGAUAAAACUGUUGGAAAUGUACGUGAAGGUUGAAGACGUUCGCAAUAAUGCGGUUGUGCAAAGCAGGGAUAACCCUCAAUUAUCGGAUGGUUAUUCUGGAGAAGCUUUAGCCGAACAAGUUCCGGCUGAAAGAGUUUGGCCGGAUCUAAACUUAUUUCCACGGGCGAAUGAGGAGCGGGGAAAUAAUUUCUCUCCUACUUUACUGUGUUAGUUUUCUUAUUUUACAUGUUUGUUUUAUAAUUUUAUAUGUUUGUUUGUAAAUUAAAUAAUUUAUUUUUAUAAUUAUACAAUAUUUAAUUAUUAAAUAUUCACAUAUGGGUUCCGGGCUCGAUAUUUGAGGCCUAGUAGCACCAAGAUAUCCUGAAUUCUUGUAUGUGUUAGUUUUAUUAUUUUACAUGUUAGUUUUAUAAUUUUAUAUGUUUGUUUGUAAAGUAAAUAAUUAAGUUUUAUAUUUAUAUAAUAUUUACUUAUUAAAUAUUCACAUAUGGGUUGCAUGCUCGAUAUUUGUGGCCCAGUAGCACCAAGAUAUCCUGAAUUCUUGUAUGUGUUUGUUUUAUUAUUUUAUAUGUUUGUUUGUAAAUUAAAUAAUUAGUUUUUAUAAUUAUACAAUAUUUAAUUAUUAAAUAUUUAUAUAUGGGUUCCAGGCUCGAUAUUUGCAGCCCAGUAGCACCAAGAUAUCCGGAAAAUAUUAUUCUUUUCUCAUGUUAUUUUCUUACGAUCGUUCACUAUAAUUGGACAGAGUUUGUGUUUGAUCUAUCAAUUAUUUUGACGUAUUUUUGAGUAUAAGAGAUAAUUAAAUUACAAGGAUACUACGUUAAAAGACACUAUAUUCUAUUACGCUAAAAGAUAAUACAUUUUACUACCCUAAAAGGGCACUAUAUUACUAGUCUUUAAGUAAAUAAAUAAUAUAAACCAGAUAAAAAUAACAAAUACAUUUAAUCACAUAACAUUCACGAAAAUACAUAUACAACAGUAAAAAAAACUUAUUUACAUUUUUUUUAACAAAUAAUAAUGAUUUCUCAAUUUUUACAUAUUUUUUUAGCACAUUAAUAUCUAAGUCCGGAUAAAAUAACAUACCAAUGUAAUCGCAAAAAACACACAAAAUAACAUAGAACACAUAUAAAACAACUAAUAUAUAAUUUUUAUACAAGUUUCGACAAAAACUAAAUCGGAAUACCUCGAUUUAUGUUUUUUGGAAAGUUGAAAAUUGAAGAUUUGAGUACGAAACGAGCAAUCCACAACGAGAGAAGGCCUUAGCUAGGAUGUGAGACCAACACUCUUUACUUUUUGUGGGACGGGUAGGGUCCACUUGAGUUUUUUGGUCGUUAGGAGGGGGGGGGGGGACCGCUGGAACUAAUUUUAAAGGGGGGGGGGGGGGUUGCUUUCUGGUUCAGCGUGGGGGAAGGGAAGGGGACGGGUAUUUCAAUAGGUAAAACAUGGUUUAGUAAAGCGUUUUAUAUAAAACGCUUUAUCAAAUCAUGUGACGGGUAUUUCAAUAGGUAAAACAUGGUUUAGUAAAGCGUUUUAUAUAAAACGCUUUAUCAAAUCAUGUUUUACCUAAACGUCUUAUCAGCUUCAGGUAAAGCGUGGUUUGAAAAGGCAUUUUAUAUAAAACUUGGUUUUGAAACGCGCUUUACCUUAACGUCCCAAAUGGACGUUAAAGUAAAACGUGAUUUUGAAACGCAUUUUAUAUAGUUUGGUCAUUAAUUUGUUUCUACUUAUUUCGAUAUUUUGAGUCCAAAAAAGAUCACAAUUGAAUUCCGGACUCGGUGGAUAAAGGUGUUUUAGGAUAGCUCCCACGAGCCUUGUUCAGAAAAUGGAAAAGGAUGGGGUAAUACUCACUACUGAAAGGAUAAAUGCUCUAUAUAACUAGCUAGAGCAAUAAUGAAAUUAAUUGUUUCUUCUCCUUUAUUAUUCAACAAAAGAUCGAUAGAUAGAUUAGAUCGAAUUUGAGAUGUAAGCAUUUUAAGGAAAGUAAUAUGUCAUGAAAUCCGUACAAAUUUCGCUCGGUACUGGAUAAGCUUAUGGGUAGGUUUGCAUUUGUAUUAAAGAAGAAGUACGUGUAAGAAUAAAAUUCGAAACCUUGCACUAUUUCUUGGAUUGUGACCCAACCCAAAGAUAUGGAAAAGUUGAAAAAGGGGUAGGUAAAAUAUACUCAAGAACUUACACAAGUGGACAUCUUUCUCUCUCUCUCCGCCUCUGAAGUCAUCAACGCCAACUCAAGUUUAUGAUCAUGAUUCUUACGCACAAAUUGCUAUAUUAGGCAAAUUGGAGGAAUUUAAUACUCUAAAUAGCAUGGACAACAAGAUCGAGGUGAAUCAAUCUUCCCAAU
Molecule: long non-coding RNA, 5183 nt
Filed under: Nicotiana tabacum (common tobacco)
Lineage: Eukaryota; Viridiplantae; Streptophyta; Magnoliopsida; Solanales; Solanaceae
Description: long non-coding RNA (NTAB_LNC009239)
Source: RNAcentral